RNAcentral lists this transfer RNA (86 nucleotides) under Streptomyces sp. SID7803. RNAcentral describes it as "tRNA-Ser". It matches the Rfam family "tRNA". Rfam says of the family: Transfer RNA (tRNA) molecules are approximately 80 nucleotides in length. Their secondary structure includes four short double-helical elements and three loops (D, anti-codon, and T loops). Further hydrogen bonds mediate the characteristic L-shaped molecular structure. tRNAs have two regions of fundamental functional importance: the anti-codon, which is responsible for specific mRNA codon recognition, and the 3' end, to which the tRNAs corresponding amino acid is attached (by aminoacyl-tRNA synthetases). tRNAs cope with the degeneracy of the genetic code in two manners: having more than one tRNA (with a specific anti-codon) for a particular amino acid; and 'wobble' base-pairing, i.e. permitting non-standard base-pairing at the 3rd anti-codon position. The record is from RNAcentral. Lineage: Bacteria; Bacillati; Actinomycetota; Actinomycetes; Kitasatosporales; Streptomycetaceae.
GGAGGAUUCGCCUAGUGGCCUAGGGCGCACGCUUGGAAAGCGUGUUGGGGGCAACCCCCUCACGAGUUCGAAUCUCGUAUCCUCCG